Molecule: long non-coding RNA, 775 nt
Organism: Anolis carolinensis (green anole)
Lineage: Eukaryota; Metazoa; Chordata; Lepidosauria; Squamata; Anolidae
Exons: 3
Source: RefSeq, a predicted model, not a curated record
GGAGGAAUAGCUUAUAACAAUACACUGUUGCUGAUGAAACUCCAUUUCCCCUGGAUUUGCAGCUUAAUUCAUAGGAACAGAGGCAUUCAAGAAUAUGCAGAAGAUUUCAUCUCACCUUCUGUCCCUGUGAUAAUUGGAUUUUGAAAAAAACAGCUUGUUGUGGAAACAAGGAUUGGUGAGAAACCUUCGGUGGAGACACCCUUUUCUCAUGAUAACUCUUUCAAGAUUUCCUCACAGGAACAUUUAGGAGAGAGCUUCAAUCAAGUUGAACCAUCCGAAAGGGGAGGAAAUAAAUGGUGAGAAAAAAUUCUUCAUAUAGUCUUAUUGUUCGGUUUACUAUGAAAGCCUUGUGAGCAGUAAAAAGGUGACAAACUCCAUGUUUUAUUUUUUUUCAAUGUCAACUCUCCACUCCUUAUGAUUGUAAAGAUAAUAGUGUCAAGAUAGCAUGUUGAGUAUUUUCCAGCCCUUCAUCUCCUGUAGGUCCCAUCUGUAUGUACCUUCUUCUUGAGAAACAUACCACAAACAUUCUUUUCUUCUAUUCUACUUCAAACUACUUCUUGGAAUACAUAUUAGAGCAUUAAGAGCACUGCUUAAACUUUGGAAAUCUGGCUGACUUGUAAUGUUGACAUGGAAAGGGUUGGGAAUCUCCGGUCCUUUAGCCAAAUCAAUCUAUUUCUAUAACAGGCCAUAUUACCUUCCCAAUGACAGUAUUAUUUGGUUGCUUCUCAGUUUUGGUGUGGCUUCUCAAGUCAAAAAUACCUCUCUCAGGACUCAU